Molecule: unclassified non-coding RNA, 404 nt
Filed under: soil metagenome
Description: partial contains 5.8S ribosomal RNA, internal transcribed spacer 2, and large subunit ribosomal RNA
Rfam family: 5.8S ribosomal RNA (bases 1-122)
Source: RNAcentral
GAUGAAGAACGCAGCAAAAUGCGAUACUUGGUGUGAAUUGCAGAAUCCCGUGAACCAUCGAGUUUUUGAACGCAAGUUGCGCCCGAAGCCUUUUGGCCGAGGGCACGUCUGCCUGGGCGUCACGCAUCGCGUCGCCCCCCACAAUUCUCCGUAAAGGGAACGUGUGUUUUGGGGGCGGAUAUUGGUCUCCCGUGCUCAUGGCGUGGUUGGCCGAAAUAGGAGUCCUUUCGAUGGACGCACGAACUAGUGGUGGUCGUAAAAACCCUCGUCUUUUGUUUCGUGCUGUUGCUCGCAAGGUAAACUCUUUAAAAACCCCGAUGUGUCAUCUCUUGACGACGCUUCGACCGCGACCCCAGGUCAGGCGGGACUACCCGCUGAGUUUAAGCAUAUCAAUAAGCGGAGGA